This 593-nucleotide unclassified non-coding RNA is filed under the name Aspergillus flavus. RNAcentral's name for it is "sequence contains 18S rRNA gene, ITS1, 5.8S rRNA gene, ITS2, 28S rRNA gene". The stretch from base 224 to 377 matches the Rfam family "5.8S ribosomal RNA". The record is from RNAcentral. Lineage: Eukaryota; Fungi; Ascomycota; Eurotiomycetes; Eurotiales; Aspergillaceae.
GUAACAAGGUUUCCGUAGGUGAUCCUGCGGAAGGAUCAUUACCGAGUGUAGGGUUCCUAGCGAGCCCAACCUCCCACCCGUGUUUACUGUACCUUAGUUGCUUCGGCGGGCCCGCCAUUCAUGGCCGCCGGGGGCUCUCAGCCCCGGGCCCGCGCCCGCCGGAGACACCACGAACUCUGUCUGAUCUAGUGAAGUCUGAGUUGAUUGUAUCGCAAUCAGUUAAAACUUUCAACAAUGGAUCUCUUGGUUCCGGCAUCGAUGAAGAACGCAGCGAAAUGCGAUAACUAGUGUGAAUUGCAGAAUUCCGUGAAUCAUCGAGUCUUUGAACGCACAUUGCGCCCCCUGGUAUUCCGGGGGGCAUGCCUGUCCGAGCGUCAUUGCUGCCCAUCAAGCACGGCUUGUGUGUUGGGUCGUCGUCCCCUCUCCGGGGGGGACGGGCCCCAAAGGCAGCGGCGGCACCGCGUCCGAUCCUCGAGCGUAUGGGGCUUUGUCACCCGCUCUGUAGGCCCGGCCGGCGCUUGCCGAACGCAAAUCAAUCUUUUUCCAGGUUGACCUCGGAUCAGGUAGGGAUACCCGCUGAACUUAAGCAUAUC